AACGAACGCUGGCGGCGUGGAUAAGACAUGCAAGUCGAACGAUUACUAGUGGGUAGCAAUAUUCGCUAGUGAGAGUGGCGCAAGGGUGCGUAACACGUGGGUAAUUUGCCGUGAAGUCUGGGAUAACUUGCUGAAAGGCGAGCUAAUACCGGAUGUGAUUACUGGAAGGCAUCUUCUGGUACUUAAAGUCGGGGACCGUAAGGCCUGACGCUUCUCGAUAAGCCCGCGGCCUAUCAGCUAGUUGGUGAGGUAACGGCUCACCAAGGCUAAGACGGGUAGCUGGUCUGAGAGGACGACCAGCCACACUGGAACUGAGACACGGUCCAGACACCUACGGGUGGCAGCAGUCGAGAAUUUUUUCUCAAUGGGCGAAAGCCUGAAGGAGCGACGCCGCGUGGGGGAUGAAUGGCUUCGGCCCGUAAACCCCUGUCAUUUGCGAUCAAACCUCACGACCUAACACGUCGUGAGCUGAUAGUAGCGGAAGAGGAAGGGACGGCUAACU
This 502-nucleotide ribosomal RNA is filed under the name uncultured bacterium. RNAcentral's name for it is "bacterial SSU rRNA". It matches the Rfam family "Bacterial small subunit ribosomal RNA", at positions 29 to 502 of the family's 1533-position model. The record is from RNAcentral.